Non-coding RNA from Acanthosepion pharaonis, 99 nucleotides. The record is from the annotation of a GenBank genome assembly. NCBI's taxonomy places the organism in Eukaryota, Metazoa, Mollusca, Cephalopoda, Sepiida, Sepiidae.
AUUGAAACACUGGUUCCCAUAUGAUCACUGAAGUUAAGCAACAUUGAGCCUGGUCAGUAUCUAGAUAGGUGACUGCUUGGGGAUGCCAGGUGUUGUAAG